RNAcentral lists this ribosomal RNA (479 nucleotides) under uncultured bacterium. RNAcentral's name for it is "SSU rRNA". It matches the Rfam family "Bacterial small subunit ribosomal RNA", at positions 26 to 518 of the family's 1533-position model. The record is from RNAcentral.
AGGACGAACGCUGGCGGCGUGCUUAACACAUGCAAGUCGAACGGAAAGGCCCUUUCGGGGGUGCUCGAGUGGCGAACGGGUGAGUAACACGUGGGUGAUCUGCCCUGCACUUUGGGAUAAGCCUGGGAAACUGGGUCUAAUACCGAAUACACCUUGCUGGCUGCAUGGCUGGUGGGGGAAAGCUUUUGCGGUGUGGGAUGGGCCCGCGGCCUAUCAGCUUGUUGGUGGGGUGAUGGCCUACCAAGGCGACGACGGGUAGCCGGCCUGAGAGGGUGUCCGGCCACACUGGGACUGAGAUACGGCCCAGACUCCUACGGGAGGCAGCAGUGGGGAAUAUUGCACAAUGGGCGCAAGCCUGAUGCAGCGACGCCGCGUGAGGGAUGACGGCCUUCGGGUUGUAAACCUCUUUCAGUAUCGACGAAGCGCAAGUGACGGUAGGUACAGAAGAAGCACCGGCCAACGUACGUGCCAGCAGCCGC